This 419-nucleotide ribosomal RNA is filed under the name uncultured bacterium. Its description in RNAcentral is "bacterial SSU rRNA". It matches the Rfam family "Bacterial small subunit ribosomal RNA", at positions 358 to 774 of the family's 1533-position model. The record is from RNAcentral.
GGAAUAUUGGUCAAUGGGCGGAAGCCUGAACCAGCCAUGCCGCGUGGAGGAAGAAGGCCCUACGGGUUGUAAACUUCUUUUGCCGCAGAGUAAUAAGGGCCGUGCGCGGCCUGAUGAGAGUAUGCGGCGAAUAAGCAUCGGCUAACUCCGUGCCAGCAGCCGCGGUAAUACGGAGGAUGCGAGCGUUAUCCGGAUUUAUUGGGUUUAAAGGGUGCGUAGGCGGACCGUUAAGUCAGCGGUGAAAUAUCCCGGCCCAACCGGGGGGCUGCCGUUGAUACUGGCGGACUAGGGUCCAAACGGCGCCGGCGGAAUAUGUAAUGUAGCGGUGAAAUGCAUAGAUAUUACAUAGAACACCGAUCGCGAAGGCAGCUGGCGAGGAUGGCACUGACGCUGAGGCACGAAGGCGUGGGGAUCGAACA